GACGAACGCUGGCGGCGUGCUUAACACAUGCAAGUCGAACGGAAAGGCCCUGCUUUUGUGGGGUGCUCGAGUGGCGAACGGGUGAGUAACACGUGAGUAACCUGCUCUUGACUUUGGGAUAACUUCAGGAAACUGGGGCUAAUACCGGAUAGGAGCUCCCGCUGCAUGGUGGGGGUUGGAAAGUUUCGGCGGUCGGGGAUGGACUGGCGGCUUAUCAGCUUGUUGGUGGGGUAGUGGCUUACCAAGGCUUUGACGGGUAGCCGGCCGGAGAGGGGGAUAGGCCACCUGGGAAGGGAGACAGCGACAAUAGGACUAAGGGACGGACCAGUGUCCUACGGGGGGCAGUAGUGGGAAGUAUUGCACAGUGAGCGCGAGCGUGAUGCGGCAGCGCCGCGUGCGGGAUGACGGCCUUUGGGUAGUGAACCGCUUUCGGUUGUGACGAAGCGUGAGUGACGGUAAUGAGUAAAGAAGCACCGGCUAACUACGUG
This 488-nucleotide ribosomal RNA is filed under the name uncultured bacterium. RNAcentral describes it as "partial 16S ribosomal RNA". It matches the Rfam family "Bacterial small subunit ribosomal RNA", at positions 28 to 507 of the family's 1533-position model. The record is from RNAcentral.